Long non-coding RNA from Brassica napus (rape), 1235 nucleotides. RefSeq lists it as uncharacterized. The record is from RefSeq and is a predicted model, not a curated record. NCBI's taxonomy places the organism in Eukaryota, Viridiplantae, Streptophyta, Magnoliopsida, Brassicales, Brassicaceae. The transcript is spliced from 2 exons.
CCUAGGAUUUGGGGUUUUUUUAAUUAAUACAAAAUUAAUGUUCUAAUUUUUCAAAUGAUUCUCAAUUAAUAUAUAGGGGAUUUGUUGUUUUUUUUUACAUUUUUUUGGUUAAGAAACGGUUAUGAUUGAAGUUGUUUCUCAGGUGGGUUUUUUAGUGUAAAAAAAAAAAAUUAGAGCAUAAUAGAAGAGAAGUUUCUUAAUCAAAGGGUCACAAAAAACGUCUCUUGAAUCCUUUCUUCUCCAUUGAAGUUUGGUCCUCUCUCUAUAGCCUUUUCAUCCUCGCAAUUUCUUCCCCACUCUAUUGAUUCAUCUCACAAUGUAUGCAUCACGAUGGAUACGACGGAGUAAGAUCUGACGGAGCUGUGUGGAAGGUUCGGCGAUAUCGACAGAGUCACGGCGUAUUCGUCCCGUGGAUUCGCGUUUAUAUACUACAGACACGUGGCGGCGAAGGAAAUGGAAUCUGCCUAUAGGAUGUGGAUUAAAGAGAAGAGAGAAGGUUCUUGAGUCUCCAUAGAAUCGGACCAGCUUUGCAAUGAACUACAAGCAGCUUUGAGAACAGCUAAAUGGCAGGUUUGUUAACAGGAGCUUCAUUCAAAAAUGUUCUUUUCAUCAUUCCCAUGAGUGGUGUUGGUUGAGCCGUGGGAAUUGUCGAGACGACACUACGUUGACUAGGGAGCUAAGAUGUAGAGUAAAUUACCAUGCUCUCAAGUUCACUGAUCCUAUACAGAGGAGCAAACACUUCAUUGCUUUACAUCUAAGGUAACCCUACCUUAAACCCUUUAGCAUCCCUUCAUUGGUUGACCUAGUUGGUCUUCAAAUUCAAUGUUUAUCCUAAUUAAUAGAAGGAAGUUGCAUCGUGGAAUCAGAUGCAUAAACAUGUGUUCACAUGUUGAAAGUAUAAAUCUAGAGAAUGUCUUGAGGCAAAGCGAUAAUGGCUUUACGGUCUGGUUUGAGCCUGAUAUGAUUGCCUUCUCGGGAUUCUAUUAUGGUGGUGGUGAUAAGGAAAGGAGAGAACUUGCAGCAAUCAGAAGGAGAUGGAAAACAUCCUUUUGUGUGAUGAAAGUGACGUUUUUGUAACCAACAACAAUGGCAAUAUGGCUAAAAUAUUGGCUGGGAGGAGGUACUCAAAACAUCAUCAUCAUCUUCUUCUUCUUUGCUUUCAUGGAGUUGCAAAGUGUUUAAGUUUUUGGUGAUAUAACAAUAAAUUUUAAGUUUAAUAAAAAAAUGUUUCAUAA